RNAcentral lists this unclassified non-coding RNA (200 nucleotides) under Amaurodon sp. RNAcentral's name for it is "partial internal transcribed spacer 2". The record is from RNAcentral. Lineage: Eukaryota; Fungi; Basidiomycota; Agaricomycetes; Thelephorales; Thelephoraceae.
UUAAGUUCAGCGGGUAGUCCUACCUGAUUUGAGGUCGAAUUUGUCAAGUUUCUUCCGGUCAAGGAAGACAUAAGGCCAUCCGCAAUGAAGGCAGGACUGACCGACGUAGAUAGUUAUCACAUCGGAGUCGCUUUGCCGAUCGGAAAAGCACAUGCAUUCAAGAGGAGCCGACAAGCCCACGAGGGGCGCCAGCAAUAUAU